Molecule: ribosomal RNA, 253 nt
Filed under: uncultured bacterium
Lineage: Bacteria
Description: partial 16S ribosomal RNA
Rfam family: Bacterial small subunit ribosomal RNA
Source: RNAcentral
UACGUAGGUGACAAGCGUUGUCCGGAUUUACUGGGCGUAAAGAGCGCGCAGGCGGUCGAUCAAGUCGAGUGUGAAAGCCCCCGGCUUAACUGGGGAGGGUCAUUCGAUACUGCUCGGCUCGAAGACAGGAGAGGGAAGCGGAAUUCCCGGUGUAGUGGUGAAAUGCGUAGAUAUCGGGAGGAACACCAGUGGCGAAGGCGGCUUUCUGGCCUGUUCUUGACGCUGAGGCGCGAAAGCUAGGGGAGCAAACGGG